Molecule: ribosomal RNA, 254 nt
Filed under: uncultured bacterium
Lineage: Bacteria
Description: partial 16S ribosomal RNA
Rfam family: Bacterial small subunit ribosomal RNA
Source: RNAcentral
AGAGUUUGAUCCUGGCUCAGGAUGAACGCUGGCGGCAUGCCUAAGACAUGCAAGUCGAACGGAGCGAACUUAUGAAAAUGGAGUGCUUGCACAAAGUUGGAAUUUGACCUCGCUUAGUGGCGAAAGGGUGAGUAACACGUGGGAAUCUGCCUUUAAGACUGGGACAACAGUUGGAAACGACUGCUAAUACCGGAUGAUAUAUAAGAUGAUACGUUAUCUUAUAUUAAAAGAAGCCUUUAAAGCUUCACUUAAAG